GAUGAACGCUGGCGGCGUGCCUAAUACAUGCAAGUCGAGCGAACAGACGAGGAGCUUGCUCCUCUGACGUUAGCGGCGGACGGGUGAGUAACAUGUGGAUAACCUACCUAUAAGACUGGGAUAACUUCGGGAAACCGGAGCUAAUACCGGAUAAUAUAUUGAACCGCAUGGUUCAAUAGUGAAAGACGGUUUUGCUGUCACUUAUAGAUGGCUCCGCGCCGCAUUAGCUAGUUGGUAGGGUAACGGCUUACCAAGGCAACGAUGCGUAGCCGACCUGAGAGGGUGAUCGGCCACACUGGAACUGAGACACGAUCCAGAGUCCUACGGGAGGCAGCAGUAGGGAAUCUUCCGCGAUGGGCGAAAGCCUGACGGAGCGACGCCGCGUGAGUGAUGAAGGUCUUCGGAUCGUAAGACUCUGUUAUUAGGGAAGAACAAAUGUGGAAGUAACUAUGCACGUCUUGACGGUACCUAAUCAGAAAGCCACGGCUAACUACGUG
RNAcentral lists this ribosomal RNA (497 nucleotides) under uncultured bacterium. RNAcentral describes it as "partial 16S ribosomal RNA". It matches the Rfam family "Bacterial small subunit ribosomal RNA", at positions 28 to 507 of the family's 1533-position model. The record is from RNAcentral.